UUUGAUGGAGUUAAAGGGUUUAGAAGGGAUUACAUUUCUUUGAUGCAGUGAGACGAGGAAUUAAGGGUCGGUUUAUUAUAAAAACAGACUGUAAAUUGGUAGUGGAGUGGGUUAAGAAUGGAACUGUGUCCCCAUCUUUUUGUCUGUAUUGUCAGGGAUAUAGCAGUUAAGCUUAAAGAAGUGGAGGGUAUUAGAUGGGUUGCAAGGACAACCAUAUUGAGGCUGAUGGGUUGGCUAAGUCUGCUAUUGGUUAAUUACAGUGUGUUUAGGGGUAUUUUUUUUGGGUUUUUACGUUUGUUUGCAAAGGUCUUUUAUUGAUGUUGUAAUCUUAUGCAUCUUAUUAAUGAAGUAUAAGGCACUCUUUUCCUCCUUCCUCUGAUAAAGGAACUCAUUUGAGUUCCUCAAUCAUGAAGGGGGUUUUAGUGAGGCCUUCAAGUCCUAUAAAAAAAAAACUAAUAGGAUUGGAUGACUUCCUUCGCUUAUUGUGCCUCCUUGAGUGGUUUUCAACUCUACUUGAAUCGGUCUCAUCACCCAUAUUUUGUUGGUAGAUACUUGGUUCUUUGAAGGGAGUGUAAAGCCUAAGUAGGAUUUUUAAGUGCGGGUAACUGGACUUGAAAUGAAGAGUUGGACUAGCUUUGAUACCAUGUCAAAACUAGUGUUUUUCACUCUAUAUGAUCGUACUGUUUGUAGAAAAAUACAAGAUUUAAAUAUACACACUGCUGCGUUAUCUUAGGAAACUGCUACGCUAGGUAAGUAAUUGAUUCUAGGAGUAAUUCUUAAUCCAUUAAAAUUAGAGAUCCUAACUAGUAGAAUAUUUACAAAGAUCCUACAUAAUAUUCCUAAAUUAGGAAGCUAGUCUAUGACAUUUAUAAUAAAUUAGUGUUGAAACCGUGACAAGUUACUGUUUGUACAAUAAAAUAGAUUAAGGUAACUCGAUUGCCUGUGUCUAAAUACAUUUUGUUUUAAAAGAUCCUCUAAUUUGUUUGGAGCAAGUGAAAACUUCUAUAGUGUCAACACUGUACUUCUGUACUUCUCAAUCUAGGAAAUUCCGUCAGCAUUUAUAUCGAUUGGCUUUUAGGUGAAAAGAUAUCUAAUUUAGUUGUGGACCAUUAAUUACUAAGCUAAUUAGCCUAAUUUAUGAAAUUAUCAGUUGAUUGUUUACAUUAUGAAUAGAGUGCUUCGUUAAUGGUAGGGACGUGGAAGAUAAUCGGGAGGAGGUUUGGUGUUACAUGUCUCAACAUGAUCAAACAUUUUUAUCUUCCUUCGAUUUAUGGGUUCCAUCUUUUUGAUCCUUCACUUUUGGUUUUAUUUGUCCCUGUAAUUGUAGUAUACCACAUUGUUCCAAAGAGGGGAAUUGCGUCCUAUCCCUUCGUCUAUUCAAGGGACAGGAUCCGUUCUCUCUUCUGUGUCUCUAGAAAACUCACUUUCUGACACGUGCCAAUCUCCUCCAAGGCCCUUGCCUUAUGAUGCUGACACUAGAUUUCCACUUGCAACGUGAUGGUCUUGUUUCAAGACAUGAGAAGGGUUCAAGUCAUUCAAACGAAGAUCAGAGCCUUUAAGAGCUCAAAAUAGAUUCGGGAUCUUUGUGUACGGGGCAAAUGGAAUGCCUUUGAACAAGGCUCGAAAGAGAAGCUUUCUAAAUCCUCACAGAAAUUCUCAUCAGCAAAGGCCUUGGAAUUGGGUCAUAUUCAUCUGCUGAAGAAGAGGAGGAAGUCUGUCCAACUUAUCUUGAAGAAUAUACCAGAGAAUCGCAAGAUAAUAACAAAAUGUUCCCACCAUUUUAAUCUCGGUUGCAUUUAUGAAUGGAUGGGAGAGUGAAAACUGUCCGGUCUGUGGCAAGGUUAUGGUGUUCGAUGAAACGGCUUAAUCUUUAUUCGGAAGGUUUUUUUGUUGAUGAAAACCAGCAGAACAGAGAAUCCAAAAAUAAAAAGAAAGACAUCUAAUCUGCUUUGUGAAUAGUGCAGGGAUAAAGCAUUUGAGAAGGGGAAAAGAGGGGUAGGUUAUCAUUGGUAUGAUUGUUGGAAAUCACACUAAAGCUGUAUUGACAAUAGUUUAUAUAUAUAUAUAUAUAUCAAUGG
Long non-coding RNA from Hibiscus syriacus, 2078 nucleotides. RefSeq lists it as uncharacterized. NCBI's taxonomy places the organism in Eukaryota, Viridiplantae, Streptophyta, Magnoliopsida, Malvales, Malvaceae. The record is from RefSeq and is a predicted model, not a curated record. The transcript is spliced from 3 exons.